This 279-nucleotide long non-coding RNA is filed under the name Mytilus galloprovincialis (Mediterranean mussel). Lineage: Eukaryota; Metazoa; Mollusca; Bivalvia; Mytilida; Mytilidae. The record is from RNAcentral.
GUCUAUGUCUGGCUGUCGGUCAGGGUUCAUAUACUUUUGACCUUCUGUUCCGAAUUAAUUGGCCAAGCAUAACUUUUACAUUUGUCAGUUUCUAAGGCACUGUAAGAAUCGGAACACAUUUAUUUGGUGUACGGGAUAUUUGUAGAGAUCUGUAUGGCAUGGUAUUCUGACCUUGAACUCUUUUAAUGAACCAUUGACAAUCUUAAGCGCAUUUGACACUUCUAGUAAAACCCUUGAUAUUAUAGACGUUCAACAAAUAUACCAUCAUAAGUAAAGCAG